This 500-nucleotide ribosomal RNA is filed under the name uncultured bacterium. RNAcentral describes it as "partial 16S ribosomal RNA". It matches the Rfam family "Bacterial small subunit ribosomal RNA", at positions 30 to 523 of the family's 1533-position model. The record is from RNAcentral.
AUUGAACGCUGGCGGCAUGCCUUACACAUGCAAGUCGAACGGCAGCACGGGAGCAAUCCUGGUGGCGAGUGGCGAACGGGUGAGUAAUAUAUCGGAACGUGCCCAGUCGUGGGGGAUAACGUAGCGAAAGCUACGCUAAUACCGCAUACGAACGAUGGAUGAAAGCGGGGGAUCGCAAGACCUCGCGCGAUUGGAGCGGCCGAUAUCAGAUUAGGUAGUUGGUGAGGUAAAGGCUCACCAAGCCGACGAUCUGGAGCUGGUCUGAGAGGACGACCAGCCACACUGGGACUGAGACACGGCCCAGACUCCUACGGGAGGCAGCAGUGGGGAAUUUUGGACAAUGGGCGCAAGCCUGAUCCAGCAAUGCCGCGUGCAGGAUGAAGGCCUUCGGGUCGUAAACUGCUUUUGUACGGAACGAAACGGCGAGCUCUAAUACAGUUUGCUAAUGACGGUACCGUAAGAAUAAGCACCGGCUAACUACGUGCCAGCAGCCGCCGUAA